This 439-nucleotide ribosomal RNA is filed under the name uncultured bacterium. RNAcentral's name for it is "bacterial SSU rRNA". It matches the Rfam family "Bacterial small subunit ribosomal RNA", at positions 29 to 506 of the family's 1533-position model. The record is from RNAcentral.
AUGAACGCUGGCGGCGUGGAUAAGGCAUGCAAGUCGUGUGGGUUCAGACCCACGGCGAACGAGUUAGUAACACGUAGAUAUCAACCCUAAAGUCGGGCAUAACCUCGCGAAAGCGAGACUAAUUCUCGAUAGUAUCAUCGCAAGAUGAUUAAAGUCGUAAGACGCUUUUGGAUGAGUCUGCGGCCUAUCAGCUAGUUGGUGAGGUAAUGGCUCACCAAGGCUAUGACGGGUAGGGGGAGUGAGAGCUUGGCCCCCAACGAUGGAACUGAGAUACGGUCCAUACUCCUACGGGAGGCAGCAGUCGAGAAUAUUCGGCAAUGGGCGAAAGCCUGACCGAGCGACGCCGCGUGCGGGAAGAAGGUCUUCGGAUUGUAAACCGCUUUUGCAGGGGAGGAACGUAAGUGACUGUACCCUGCGAAUAAGGGGCUCCUAACUCUGU